CAGCAGCCGCGGGAAUACGUAGGUGGCAAGCGUUGUCCGGAAUUAUUGGGCGUAAAGGGCUCGCAGGCGGUUUCUUAAGUCUGAUGUGAAAGCCCCCGGCUCAACCGGGGAGGGUCAUUGGAAACUGGGAAACUUGAGUGCAGAAGAGGAGAGUGGAAUUCCACGUGUAGCGGUGAAAUGCGUAGAGAUGUGGAGGAACACCAGUGGCGAAGGCGACUCUCUGGUCUGUAACUGACGCUGAGGAGCGAAAGCGUGGGGAGCGAACAGGAUUAGAUACCCGAGUAGUCCCUGUCUCUUAUAC
RNAcentral lists this ribosomal RNA (301 nucleotides) under uncultured bacterium. Its description in RNAcentral is "partial 16S ribosomal RNA". It matches the Rfam family "Bacterial small subunit ribosomal RNA", at positions 509 to 807 of the family's 1533-position model. The record is from RNAcentral.